GGCAACCUUGUCAAAUUCAGUGCUUCCUUCUCCCUGGAUGCCACUGGCCAAAAUGGUUGCUACAGUAACUGUGUGGUCGAUGGGCCCCGUGGUCUUUCAGCGUGGCCACUGGGGAUAAUUAUGUGCUGCACACAAAA
This is a small nucleolar RNA of Fundulus heteroclitus (mummichog), 137 nucleotides long. The record is from Ensembl. NCBI's taxonomy places the organism in Eukaryota, Metazoa, Chordata, Actinopteri, Cyprinodontiformes, Fundulidae.